RNAcentral lists this transfer RNA (74 nucleotides) under Pseudomonas phage phiPsa374. It matches the Rfam family "tRNA". From Rfam's summary of the family: Transfer RNA (tRNA) molecules are approximately 80 nucleotides in length. RNAcentral also lists the same sequence under 7 other names. Lineage: Duplodnaviria; Heunggongvirae; Uroviricota; Caudoviricetes; Vandenendeviridae. The record is from Rfam by way of RNAcentral.
GCUCUUGUCGUCUAAAGGUAUAGGAUGGCUGACUUUCAAUCAGUUGAUGUUGGGUUCGAGUCCCACCAAGAGUA